GCUCUGCCUUUGAACCUGUGAGUUGCCCCAGUGGCCUCACUGGCCAAGCAGCAGUGCAAGAGAAACUGGUUGGUUAUAACUGGUACUUCUCAGCCAAACCUGAGCUGUGCUUUUAACUACCCUCUACAGUC
This is a non-coding RNA of Xenopus laevis (African clawed frog), 131 nucleotides long. Lineage: Eukaryota; Metazoa; Chordata; Amphibia; Anura; Pipidae. The record is from Rfam.